Molecule: microRNA precursor, 87 nt
Organism: Rhinopithecus roxellana (golden snub-nosed monkey)
Lineage: Eukaryota; Metazoa; Chordata; Mammalia; Primates; Cercopithecidae
Gene: MIR519B
Product: microRNA 519b
Source: Ensembl
UCUCAGGCUCUGACCCUCUAGAGGGAAGCGCUUUCUGUCAUCUGAGAGAGAAGAAAGUGCAUCCUUUUAGAGGAUCACGGUUUGAGA